GAUCAAGUGAAAGAAGGGCAUUUGGUGGAUGCCUUGGCAUGCACAGGCGAUGAAGGACGUGAUACGCUGCGAUAAGCCGUGGGGAGCUGCGAAUAAGCUUUGAUCCAUGGAUCUCCGAAUGGGGAAACCCACCUUAAAUACUUGGAAAAUUUAAGUCGUGCUUAGGUACGGCUUAGGUUUCCAAGUAUUGUUUAAAGGUAUCUUAUUCUGAAUACAUAGGGGUAAGAAGCGAACGCAGGGAACUGAAACAUCUAAGUACCUGCAGGAAAGGACAUCAACCGAGACUCCGCAAGUAGUGGCGAGCGAACGCGGACCAGGCCAGUGGCACUGAGGAAUAAAGUGGAACGACAUGGAAAGGUCGGCCGUAGAGGGUGAUAGCCCCUUACACGUAGAACACUCAGUGUCCUUGAGUAAGGCGGGACACGUGAAAUCCUGUCUGAACAUGGGGAGACCACUCUCCAAGCCUAAGUACUCGUGCAUGACCGAUAGCGAACAAGUACCGUGAGGGAAAGGUGAAAAGCACCCCGACAAGGGGAGUGAAAUAGAACCUGAAACCGGAUGCCUACAAACAGUCGGAGCCCGCAAGGGUGACGGCGUACCUUUUGUAUAAUGGGUCAACGACUUAGUGUGACGAGCAAGCUUAAGCCGAUAGGUGAAGGCGCAGCGAAAGCGAGUCUGAAUAGGGCGUUCAGUUCGUCGCAUUAGACCCGAAACCGAGUGAUCUAGCCAUGAGCAGGUUGAAGGUUGGGUAACACCAACUGGAGGACCGAACCCGCAUCUGUUGCAAUAGAUUGGGAUGACUUGUGGCUAGGGGUGAAAGGCCAAUCAAACUCGGAAAUAGCUGGUUCUCCGCGAAAACUAUUUAGGUAGUGCGUCGACCGAAUACCCUCGGGGGUAGAGCACUGGAUGGGCUAUGGGGACUCACCGUCUUACUGAUCCUAACCAAACUCCGAAUACCGAGGAGUACUAGUCGGCAGACACACGGCGGGUGCUAACGUCCGUCGUGAAGAGGGCAACAACCCUGACCUCCAGCUAAGGUCCCCAAGUCAUGGCUAAGUGGGAAAGGAUGUGAGGAUCCCAAAACAACCAGGAUGUUGGCUUAGAAGCAGCCAUCAUUUAAAGAAAGCGUAACAGCUCACUGGUCUAAUUAAGGGUCUUUGCGCCGAAAAUGUAACGGGGCUAAAGCCAUGCACCGAAGCUGAGGAUACGUCGCAAGACGUGUGGUAGCGGAGCGUUCCGUAAGCCUGUGAAGGGAUACCUGUGAGGGGUCCUGGAGGUAUCGGAAGUGCGAAUGUUGACAUGAGUAACGAUAAAGAGGGUGAGAGACCCUCUCGCCGAAAGACCAAGGGUUCCUGCUUAAAGUUAAUCUGAGCAGGGUUAGCCGGCCCCUAAGACGAGGCGGACACGCGUAGUCGAUGGGAACCACGUUAAUAUUCGUGGGCCUGGUGGUAGUGACGGAUUGCUUAACUUGUAC
Molecule: ribosomal RNA, 1474 nt
Filed under: Ensifer adhaerens
Lineage: Bacteria; Pseudomonadati; Pseudomonadota; Alphaproteobacteria; Hyphomicrobiales; Rhizobiaceae
Description: partial 23S ribosomal RNA
Rfam family: Bacterial large subunit ribosomal RNA
Source: RNAcentral